UAUAACCUGGAAGAAAAUAUGGAAAAGCUCAGAGAAAAAAUUAGUUAAUUCGACCAGGCAGGCGUCCAAACUGGAUUCUUUCCUCCUUAUGGAGCUCCACACUCCUAGAUUGACUGAAAUGUUUCCUUUUUCAACUGCCUGGAUUUUGUACAUAUGUUUAGGCAAAAAAAACUUUUUUUUAUAUUAUUGGAAAUUCUCUUUUUUUUGUGACUUAUAUAACGUCCACGUGGACUAUUAAGCUAAUUGGGGUUACUAUAACAGAACAUUUAUUAUAAUAUAAAAUUAUCGGGCAAUUGCGAUACUCUCUACUCUUAAGUAAUAUAACGAAUGCUACCCAGGAGAUCUCUGAUACUUUGAAUCUUCGUGUACAAAUGAAUGGCUCCGCCGAACAACGUUGCAAGUGAAAAAAACUUAUUUUUUCAGAAAUUCAAAAAAACACUGAUUGUUCAAUGAAAUUGAUUUCUAAUUUACAAUUUCUUAUUAUAAACGAGGCUUUGUUAUUGAAUGAAAUCACCUAUAAGAGAAAAUAUUAUUAUACUAUCAUAUCUUACUGAGAUAUUGACAUUUUAAAAGUAUUUUUUCGGGUACAACGUUGUAAGCGACGGCGCUUGCAACGUUGUUCUUUGAACAAGACGUAUAAUACUGAAUUUAAUGGGGCUGAUUCAAUAAUGUAAGUAGGUAGUUUUCAAAUAUGAUCUUUAAUAAUAACGAAUACAAAAAACUUAAGUUUUCUUAUUGUUCAACCUAAAUAUUUUCAUAAAAAGGCACAUAUUCUGGCGGAAUGUAUUUGCACAUAUCCAAACAAGUCCUUUUUCUUUGCCGCUUUGAUCGGGAGUCUAUCCUUGUAUAAAGGUGGGAACCGAGAAACUUUUACUGGGGGCAUACUUCUCUUCCCUGGCCCCUUUACUUUUUUUGCUAAUAAGUGCGAAGUACAUGUUUGAAGGACGUUGUGUGAUUCGAUUUAUACAAAACGGAUGAGAGUCCAAAAAUUCCCCACUCUUAAAAAUUUUGUAGAAAAAUGUAUAGUAAAUGUAAAUGAAUUUUGUAGAAUUUUGUCUUAAAAAUUUUAUGCUAGUAAAUUCGGGCGUCAACAGGAAGCAGUUUGCUUUUGCUUUUAAGUGCGGUAAUGUGACUCACGAGUUUUUGUCUGCUUCACGUGUUUUUCACGGAAUUUUUAAGAUGGCUGAGUGUGAAUCUUCAAGCGUUACUAAAAAAAGGCCAAAAUUAGGUCGCGUUUUGACUCGUCAAAAAAACUAAGAUUGCAAACACAUGAAACUGGUAGCAGUUGUAAUUGUUCAAGGUUAAAAUGUUUUGAAGUAAUUGGUGUUUAAGACCGUUUGGCGAUUAUUAAAAACUUUAACGAAAUAAAAUCCUAUAAUGAGCAGACCUUAUACUUGGCAGGUCUCAUUUCGCAUGAGCCAGUUAAAAGACGGCGCCAAAGAAAAGCGAACGAUGAAGAUGUAGUUUAUCACUCAUUCUCCUACAAAUAUAAGGUUCGAGUAAUGCGAGAUAAUGGAGCCAAAGAGAUUCCUGUUUGCUACAAGGCAAUGCUGUCGUUACAUGGAAUAUCAGCGAAGCGCAUUCAAAACAUCCAGCAAAAGCUUGUUAAAGACGGACAUGUUGGUGAAGAUGGUCGUGGUCGACAUUCCAAUCGACCAAACAAGUUACACCAAGAAACCACUAAUGCUGUCUUUGCUCAUAUUCAAUCAUUUAAAGGUAGACAGUCACACUAUAGCCUUCACAAGUCGAAAAAAUCGUACCUACUAGUGGAGUUAAACGUUAAGAAAAUGUUCCAAAUGUUUAAGGAAUUACAUCCGACUAAAUCAAUUUCAUGUGUCAUAUCGUUCUAUCUUUGUAAAUAAAUUUAAUAUUAGUUUCGGUUACCCGCGCAGUGAUACAUGCAGCAGUUGCGAUGAAUAUAAAGCAAAAAUUGCAGAUCCUUCACAGGUUUCAAACCUUGCUACAUUACAUGUGACAAAUCAACUUCACCUUAAGAAGGCAGAGGCUUUUUAUCAAAGAAAACGAUCCGAACGCAAAAGAGCUCAACAACACCGCUAUAUUGAAGCCAUUGCUAUGGAUUAUCAAAAAAACUUGCCUCUGCUAAACAUUAGCACUAAUGACGUAUACUACAAACGACAGUUAUCGUUCUACUUAUUUAAUAUUCACGUUUUAGCCAGUGGUGAGGCAUUUUUUUAUACGUACACAGAAACCGCCGCAAAAAAAGGAGCAGACGAAGUUGCUUCUAUGCUGUUUAAUUACAUACUCAAUGAAUUGAAUCCCGUUCAAAAGUUCAAGAACUUGUGAUUUUUUGUGAUUCGUGUUGUGGAUAGAAUAAAAAUUAUACUUUGUUUCGAAUGCUUCAUUAUGUUGUAACAUAAAGUAGGCCGACUUCAGUGUAUAAAAAUGGUUUUUCCAAUUAGAGGACAUAGCUACAUGGAAUGUGAUCGUAAUAUGGGCUUAAUCAAUUCCAAAGCUUUUGUCGAACUUCCUUUCGGUUAGAAUGAUCACAUUCGAAAUGCCCGCGUUAAACCAAGUCCCUUUAAAGUAGUUAGCUGUGAAGAUCAAGAGAUUUUUCGAAGCUGGACUGAUCAUUUAACAAACUAUUAUGUAACAAAAUGUCCCUUUGAAACCCGCCCAAUCAGAGAACUGCUCAUAAAAAAAGAAGAGCCCAGAAUGAUCGAUCAUCGUGAUUCGUACAAUGGAGGCUUUAUUUCAAGCGUCGUAGUGCCUACAAAAAAAAAAGGAAACUACCAAAAAAGGAAAAGCAGCCAAAGGCAAAUUAAAAAAUGCAGACAAUAUAGUUGGUAUAUUAGAUCUACCUUCAGGACAAUUUGAACUUCCAAAUUUCAAAUAUGAAAACAGGAUCCCAUCAAUGCUAAGAAAUACUAAAACCUGCAGGAUUUAAAACGUUUUUGUAGUGUCGAAGCUCAAAUUUACUUUGAAAAUUUAAAUGUAACUGAAUAAAAAAUUUUUGGACCUUCA
Long non-coding RNA from Anthonomus grandis grandis, 2982 nucleotides. RefSeq lists it as uncharacterized. The transcript is spliced from 2 exons. NCBI's taxonomy places the organism in Eukaryota, Metazoa, Arthropoda, Insecta, Coleoptera, Curculionidae. The record is from RefSeq and is a predicted model, not a curated record.